GCUCUUGUAGUUCAACGGAUAGAACAUGGGUUUCCGGAACCUAAAAUAGAGGUUCGAUUCCUCUCGAGAGCA
RNAcentral lists this transfer RNA (72 nucleotides) under Parcubacteria group bacterium CG10_big_fil_rev_8_21_14_0_10_36_14. RNAcentral describes it as "tRNA-Arg". It matches the Rfam family "tRNA". Rfam says of the family: Transfer RNA (tRNA) molecules are approximately 80 nucleotides in length. The record is from RNAcentral.